AGUCGAACGGUAACAUUUCUAGCUUGCUAGAAGAUGACGAGUGGCGGACGGGUGAGUAAUGCUUGGGAACUUGCCUUUGCGAGGGGGAUAACAGUUGGAAACGACUGCUAAUACCGCAUAAUGUCUUCGGACCAAACGGGGCUUCGGCUCCGGCGCAAAGAGAGGCCCAAGUGAGAUUAGCUAGUUGGUAAGGUAACGGCUUACCAAGGCGACGAUCUCUAGCUGUUCUGAGAGGAAGAUCAGCCACACUGGGACUGAGACACGGCCCAGACUCCUACGGGAGGCAGCAGUGGGGAAUAUUGCACAAUGGGGGAAACCCUGAUGCAGCCAUGCCGCGUGUGUGAAGAAGGCCUUCGGGUUGUAAAGCACUUUCAGUUGUGAGGAAAAGUUAGUAGUUAAUACCUGCUAGCCGUGACGUUAACAACAGAAGAAGCACCGGCUAACUCCGUGCCAGCAGCCGCGGUAAUACGGAGGGUGCGAGCGUUAAUCGGAAUUACUGGGCGUAAAGCGCACGCAGGCGGUUUGUUAAGCUAGAUGUGAAAGCCCCGGGCUCAACCUGGGAUGGUCAUUUAGAACUGGCAGACUAGAGUCUUGGAGAGGGGAGUGGAAUUCCAGGUGUAGCGGUGAAAUGCGUAGAUAUCUGGAGGAACAUCAGUGGCGGAGGCGACUCCCUGGCCAAAGACUGACGCUCAUGUGCGAAAGUGUGGGUAGCGAACA
This 717-nucleotide ribosomal RNA is filed under the name uncultured Alteromonas sp. Its description in RNAcentral is "bacterial SSU rRNA". It matches the Rfam family "Bacterial small subunit ribosomal RNA", at positions 60 to 774 of the family's 1533-position model. Lineage: Bacteria; Pseudomonadati; Pseudomonadota; Gammaproteobacteria; Alteromonadales; Alteromonadaceae. The record is from RNAcentral.